Molecule: ribosomal RNA, 2708 nt
Filed under: human gut metagenome
Description: bacterial LSU rRNA
Rfam family: Bacterial large subunit ribosomal RNA
Source: RNAcentral
AGAGCGUAGAGUGAAUGCCUUGGCAUUGGGAGCCGAUGAAGGACGUGGUUAACUGCGAAAAGCUACGGGGAGUCGUAAGCAGACAUUGAUCCGUAGAUGUCCGAAUGGAGCAAUCCGCAUGGAGUUAGUCCAUGCAUCCAUAAGUGAAUUCAUAGCUUAUGGAGGGGAACCGCCUGAACUGAAACAUCUAAGUAGGGCGAGGAAGAGAAAUCAAACGAGAUUUCGUAAGUAGUGGCGAGCGAACGCGAAAGAGGCUAAACCAAGAGAAGAAAUUCUUUUGGGGUUACGGACUGCGAUAUGUAUCUGAGGACUUAGCAGAAUGGUAUGGGAAAGCCAACCAGAGAAUGUGAUAGUCAUGUAUGCGAAAAGGAAUCAGAGCUAGCAGGAUCCAAAGUACCGCGGGACACGAGGAAUCCCGUGGGAAGUCGGGGGGACCACCCUCCAAGCCUAAAUACUACCCAAUGACCGAUAGCGAAAAGUACUGUGAAGGAACGGUGAAAAGAACCCCGGGAGGGGAGUGAAAAGAACCUGAAACUCUAUGCUUACAAGCACAUAGAGCACGUCAAAGUGUGAUAUGGUACCUUUUGUAGAAUGGUCCGGCGAGUUAUUGUAUGCAGCAAGGUUAAGGUCUUCAGGACUGAAGCCGAAGCGAGAGCGAGUCUGACAAGGGCGAUAAGUUGUAUGCAAUAGACCCGAAACCGGGUGACCUAGCCAUGUUCAGGUUGAAGUGGAGGUAAAGCUCCAUGGAGGACCGAACCGACCUCCGUUGAAAAGGCGGCGGAUGAAAUGUGGCUAGCGGAGAAAUUCCAAUCGAACCCGGAAAUAGCUGGUUCUCCCCGAAAUAGCUUUAGGGCUAGCGUUGUAUUAGAUUUCUGGGGGUAAAGCACUGAAUAGGCUAGGGGCCGAGAGGUUACUGAACCUUAUCAAACUAAGAAUACCAGAAAAUUGAUGUACAGCAGUCAGACUAUGUGAGAUAAGUCUCAUAGUCAAAAGGGAAACAGCCCAGACCCACAGCUAAGGUCCCAAAACAGAUUUAAGUGGAAAAGGAUGUGGGAUUGCCCAGACAACCAGGAUGUUGGCUUAGAAGCAGCCACACAUUAAAAGAGUGCGUAAUAGCUCACUGGUCGAGUGAUCCUGCGCCGAAAAUUCAACGGGGCUAAAAUUUGUACCGAAGCUUGGGCUUGAUACUUUGUAUCAGGGGUAGGGGAGCGUCAUGUACGAGGUGAAGUCGUAGCGGAAGCGGCGGUGGAUUGUACAUGAGAGAGAAUGCCGGAAUGAGUAGCGAGAAUUAUGUGAGAAUCAUAAUGGCCGAAAAUCUAAGGUUUCCUGAGGAAGGUUCGUCCGCUCAGGGUAAGCCGGGAGCUAAGGUGAGGCGGAAACGCGUAGCCGAUGCACAUACGGUAGAGAUUCCGUAGCCUCCGAAAAGUAAAGCACAGGGACGCUUCAGAAGUGUUACGCCGGGCGAUGGUUGCCCCGGUUGUAAAGGACACAAUUGAGUGGAAGGUAAUAUGGAUGGAGACAAGAAAAGCUGUGUGUAUCUGGAAGGAGCCCGUACCGCAAACCGACACAGGUAGAUAGGAAGAAGAUUCUAAGGCCAGCGGGAGAAGGGUUGUUAAGGAACUCGGCAAGUUGACCCCGUAACUUCGGGAGAAGGGGUGCUUACGAAGGUAAGCCGCAGAGAAUAGGCCCAAGCGACUGUUUAGCAAAAACACAGCUCUAUGCUAAAUCGAAAGAUGACGUAUAUGGGGUGACACCUGCCCGGUGCUGGAAGGUUAAGAGGAGAUGUGAGAGCAUUGAAUUGAAGCCCCAGUAAACGGCGGCCGUAACUAUAACGGUCCUAAGGUAGCGAAAUUCCUUGUCAGGUAAGUUCUGACCCGCACGAAAGGCGUAACGAUUUGGGCGCUGUCUCAGCUGUAGACUCGGUGAAGUCUUAGUACCUGUGAAGAUGCAGGUUACCCGCGACUAGACGGAAAGACCCCAUGGAGCUUCACUGCAGGUUGAUAUUGGGAUUUGAUGCAGCAUGUACAGGAUAGGUAGGAGGCAAAGAGAUGGAUACGCCAGUAUUCAAGGAGCCGCUGUUGGGAUACUACCCCUGUUGUAUUGGAUUUCUAACCGGACGACGUAGAGCCGUUGACGGGACAGUGUCAGUCGGGCAGUUUGACUGGGGCGGUCGCCUCCCAAAGAGUAACGGAGGCGCCCAAAGAUACCCUCAGCUUGGAUGGAAACCAAGCGCAGAGUGCAAAGGCAAAAGGGUGUUUGACUGCGAGACCCACAAGUCGAGCAGGGACGAAAGUCGGGCUUAGUGAUCCGGCGGUGCUGAAUGGAAAGGCCGUCGCUCAACGGAUAAAAGCUACCCUGGGGAUAACAGGCUGAUCUCCCCCAAGAGUCCACAUCGACGGGGAGGUUUGGCACCUCGAUGUCGGCUCAUCGCAUCCUGGGGCUGUAGUAGGUCCCAAGGGUUGGGCUGUUCGCCCAUUAAAGCGGUACGCGAGCUGGGUUCAGAACGUCGUGAGACAGUUCGGUCCCUAUCUGUCGUGGGCGCAGGAAAUUUGAGAAGAGCUGUCCUCAGUACGAGAGGACCGGGAUGGACGCAUCAAUGGUGGACCAGUUGUCACGCCAGUGGCAUAGCUGGGUAGCUAAAUGCGGAAGGGAUAAACGCUGAAGGCAUCUAAGUGUGAAACCCACUUCAAGAUGAGAUUUCCCAUUGC